GGAUUAGAUACCCUGGUAGUCCACGCCCUAAACGAUGGAUACUAGGCGUGAGAGGUAUCGACCCCUCUCGUGCCGCAGCUAACGCAUUAAGUAUCCCGCCUGGGGAGUACGGCCGCAAGGUUGAAACUCAAAUGAAUUGACGGGGACCCGCACAAGCGGUGGAGCAUGUGGAUUAAUUCGAUACUAACCGAAGAACCUUACCCAGACUUGACAUCGAUCGCAAGCCUUUGAAAGAAGGCCCUCCCUCUCAAGGGGACGUGAAGACACUUGUUGCAUGGCUGUCGUCAGCUCGUGCCG
This 297-nucleotide ribosomal RNA is filed under the name uncultured bacterium. RNAcentral's name for it is "partial 16S ribosomal RNA". It matches the Rfam family "Bacterial small subunit ribosomal RNA", at positions 775 to 1067 of the family's 1533-position model. The record is from RNAcentral.